UUGUUCAGCCCGCCCUAAAUUUUUUUUCUAGCUUCGUCGAUGCUCCCACGCCGCAUCCCCUCUCCACAAGGAACCGCAGCCCCCUGAUGUGCUCGUGUCGAGGUCGGCUUUCGGCGACGAUCUCCACGAUGGCCUGCGAGCUUGGCUCCGGAUUCGCGCCUGAGUGACGGCGCGGCUUCGGCCGAUCACCUGCUCCGGUCCUGCCUCACCUGACCGAGCCGUGCUCGUGCGCGCCGACCAGUCGACGGACGACGACCGAGCCGCACUCGUGCGCAGCAGGUGGAGGAGGACUGGGUCGCCGCGGAACCUGGCUUCUAGGACGCCAAGCUCCAAGCUCGUCUCGCCCGCCACCGGAGGACCUCGCCAAGCCGCACGCGACGCGACGCCUGCGACCCCUACACCGGCCUCUGGAACUGGUCCAACCCGGCUUCUACGACGCCCAGCUCCAAGCUCGUCUCGCCCGCCACCGGACGACCUCGCCAAGCCGCACGCGACGCGACGCCUGCGACCCCUACACCGGCCUCUGGAACUAGAACUGGUCCAUGUCCGUUCCUUGCUCCCCUCCCCUUACUGAUUUGUUUUGUUUCAGCACCUGAUUUUGGUAGUGAUUUGUUUCUGAAUCCUGGAUAGAUAGAAUCGUUUCAGCACUUUGUUAUUGAUUUGUUUUGUUUCAGCACCUGAUUUUGGUAGUGUUUUAUUUCUGAAACCUGGAUAGAUAGAAUCGUUUCAGUACCUGCAUUUUUGUAUUGAUCUGAACCUGCAUUUUCUGAUAGAUCUUUUGACAGUGAGGACACUACUACUACUAUUAGGCAGUAGCAAUCACUACAUUAAACCUGAAAUUUCUUAUUGAUCUCAGCCUGUUUCGCUUGGUCAUCUCGAAGUGAUGUGAGCCUUGGAAAUGUACUGAAUUGAAA
This 914-nucleotide long non-coding RNA is filed under the name Sorghum bicolor (sorghum). RNAcentral's name for it is "long non-coding RNA (SBIC_LNC012761)". The record is from RNAcentral. Lineage: Eukaryota; Viridiplantae; Streptophyta; Magnoliopsida; Poales; Poaceae.